RNAcentral lists this ribosomal RNA (466 nucleotides) under uncultured bacterium. RNAcentral's name for it is "partial 16S ribosomal RNA". It matches the Rfam family "Bacterial small subunit ribosomal RNA", at positions 28 to 507 of the family's 1533-position model. The record is from RNAcentral.
GACGAACGCUGGCGGCGUGCUUAACACAUGCAAGUCGUGCGGUAAGGUCCUUUCGGGGGUACACGAGCGGCGAACGGGUGAGUAACAGUUGAGCAACCUGCCCUUCACUUUGGGAUAACUGCCGGAAACGGUGGCUAAUACCGGUUACGACUUCCUCACUCAUGCGGGGUGGUGGAAAGCCUUCGGGGGGUGGGGGAUGGGCUCUCGGUCUAUCAGCUUGUUGGUGGGGUGAUGGUCUACCAAGGCUUUGACGGGUAGCCGGCCUGGGAGGGUGGCCGGGCACCAUGGGCCUGAGAGACGGACCAGACUGCUACGGGCGGCAGCAGUGGGGAGUAUUGCGCAAUGGGCGAAAGCCUGUUCCAGCAGCGCCGCGUGAGGGAUGCCGGCCUUCGGGUUGUAAACCUCUUUCGCCUGCGAUGAAGCGAGAGUGACGGUAGCAGGUAAAGAAGCACCGGCUAACUACGUG